Molecule: long non-coding RNA, 22505 nt
Filed under: Xyrichtys novacula (pearly razorfish)
Lineage: Eukaryota; Metazoa; Chordata; Actinopteri; Labriformes; Labridae
Source: RNAcentral
GCUAGAAGCAACAUGGCAGAGAACCCAAAGAAGAAGAAAAAGCCUUCCUGUUCAGCAGAAGGUCUGUUGGCAAAGGAAGUGAGUGACAAACGGAGAAGACUAACACAUCUGCAUCACUUGUCCUCGAUGGAGAGCCCUGAGGGAGGAGAUUGGACUGAGGCCUGACUCCGAUGUUGCCUUGAUGCUGCUAGAUAAGUAAGUGACUCUGUUCAUUACAAGCAGGAUGUGCUGCUGUUAAAUGUACUGGACUGAGUACUUUAUUAUUUUCUUGGAAAUGGUGCUAUGAAUGUAAUGUAUUAUUAGCAGCCUAGUGUUUGCCACAUUUUGUAAUGUUAGCCUAACGAGCAGUAAGUUACAAGGUGUGUCGCCUGUGUCGUUGUGUGUGACUUACUGCGGGGAGUCUGUGUGUAACUUUAGUAGCCGACAUGUUGUGUAGACAGUUAUAGUCCGUGUACUGUGAUGAGCAGUAUGCGGUGAGCCAAGUGUUACUCCAUGUACGGGUUACACCAGGCCAUACAUCAUAUUGAGGUGCCGGCCUUAUUGUUGUCAUAAUGCAGAUAUCCUCUAAGGUGAUAGAAGUUACGCACUAUAGCUUAUAUAUGUUGACUGCCAUCUAAGUUUCACUCGUUUAAACUAUAGACUGUAUAUAGAAUGGACGCCGUCUGCCUCCUCGCUGGGUGAAGCCACCGCCAGGACAGCACCCUCUGGUGACGGGCUGCAGUAUAGGUCAUAAAUCCCGCCUCCUCCAGCAAUCCCUAUGGAGCUGUGGACAAACUUUAGAAAUUAAUUACACAGAAUAUAUAUUUUUCUCCCCCUGCUUGCAAGUUAUUAAGGGGUUCAUGUUUUCAGUGAUUGACAGUUGAUACAGCCUAUGGGCGUACGAAGAUUGCAUAGCUCACUUGGGGGGAUACGCCGUUUAAGCCGAGCGUCAUCACAGCGACUCUCAGUGACUCUCCUGCCAAAUGUGUACAACACUAUUGCGCAAGUGGUAGUUUCAGGAAGUGGAGAGAAUCCCAAAAAUACCAAGAGCAAAUCAGCUUCAAAUUCAUAUAACGAUAAAAGAUACCAGUUGUCCAUGGUAUAUACAGUCUAUGUUUCAAACGCUGUCAGAAACUCCCACAGCUUUAAUGACGGAGCCAGCUGAUUUCUCAGUGACGGACUCUCUUGUUUAUGGUGAUUUAUGGUGAUCAAAAUAAACAUGGCAAUGAUUCAUUACUGUUAAAUUUCCUUUGACUUUAGAAUGAGCCGCCUCAUUUUCAUCUACCAUAAAGCAAAAACGGUUCAAUGAACAAGGUCGGCCUGAAGAAGCUACAGAUUUUCAUUCAACAUUAACAUCAUGUUUACUGUAAUUCUUCAUAUGAAGGAGAAAUUAGCAAAGCUAAUGUGGUAAUCAACAAAACAUCAUUAGCUGGAUGAUGGUAUGUCAAAUGUUAUAAUUACAUCAAUCUCUAUUAUCCUUGUUAAAUGGAGUGAAACUAAGAAAGCAACAGUAUUACAGAUCACUAUCUUGAUUGAUAAAUUAAAUGACUGACCUCCAUCAGAGAGGUAAACAGACCAAAACAGACAGGUAAAGACAAAGACACAAGGACGGGGUAAAGACAAGUAGCUACACAGAGGUGUCUUAAAUCUCCCCUUUCAUUCCUAACUCUUGUUUUAAAGAAACAAACCACCAAACAAUCCUCAAACAGGGAUACAGACAAACAGUCAAAGAAGACUCAAGCAACAGAGAUAUGUUCUGACUGCUGUAAAGGAUGUAACUUUGUAAAAUUCCUGUAAGUUUUUGGUAGCUGCUGUGUUUAGUUUGUCUUGUGAUUGAGCUUUUAGGUACCUCUGGCAGCUUCUUAAGAAAAUUCAAUUUGUGCCUCUGCACUCGCAUCUACAGACACUUACAAAACCUCCAGGGGCAUUACAGAUGUGAUUGUGAAAUAACUAUAAAACAAACAGCAAAACACCUCUUCUAUGGUCAGAUAAGAAAAUGAUGUAUAGUGAGUGGGUGGUUAUACAAACAAGGAUCCCAAGGAGCUUGACCCCAAUGCUUUAUGUCUUAAUUGGAGUCAUUUUGUUUGAGAUCCCCAGACAGGAUGAUGAAGACCCCUCCCAGAGUGUUGGGGUCCUGCUCACACUGUCAGGAACCUAAUUUGCAUAACUACCUGUUUACUAUACAUCAUCUUACUUGACACCCAGCUACAGGCUUAAACUUUGAUACUGAAAUGAUUUUCUUUUAAUUCACCUAUGCUGAGUGGUCCUUUCUGUCUUCCUCAGGAAAAGCUGCUUUAUGUUCAGACAAAUACCUCUCCGCCAUCACACCCAUUACAUUUCUCUGAUCCAACUCACUUCAAAUCCAAACCCAAACGUCAAUAGUCAUCUUAGCCACAGCCGAGAAAGAAUGAGAAGGGUGUGCGUGUGUGUGUGUGUUUGUGUGUUUCGCAGAGGAAGGGUGUGGGCAGUGGGGGCUAGUUGUACCAUGACGGACGUGUGCAACAACAAAUGAACAAUGCCUCCAGCAAUAUCAAAGAUGUCAAUGGGAGGAGAUUUGAAUGGUGUGUCGGUGGAGACGUUGAUUAUUACUCAUGUCAAUUGUCGAGACGAUGAGCGCUCAGGGGCAUCUAUCUCUCUCUCCUCCCUCUUUUUCUCCCACUGUUUUGUUGUCAUUUCCAGGAGUUUCAAGGUAAUGAACGCCUCUUGUUCUGUUGUCUGAUGUAAUUGAAUAAUAGCUGAUGUACACAUGUCAAAUAGCGUGAAAGUCACUCAUAGAAAUCAAACCACAUCAACGCUGGUUUGCGUCCUUAUUCAUGCACACAUCCACACAAGCACACUCACAAAGGCAGCAACACACACCAGAUCUGAUUUGCCCAGGGAAACUGAUAUAGCAGUUAAAAAAAAUCUGGCUCCUGAUAUGGUUUAUUUCCUGACAACCAAAGCAAACACUGAAUUGAUACCUUUAAUACCUCCAAUGUUGCACCAAAGUAUCAAAACAAAUGUAACAGAGAUAAAGUGUUGCACUCAUAGACUGUAUAUACUAUGGUUCCGCCUACCACCUGUAUACGGGUUUGAAGCCAAAUAGCUCUCUGUAUUUCUGGGAUUUUUCUUGAUUUCCUGAAACCAGAGCUGCGCAGUAGCGAUGCCCACAUUCGGGCGCGCCGUUGCCGAGAGUCCCUGUAAAGACGCUCAGCUCAAACAGCGUAUCCCCCGGGAGAGCUUCACAAUCCCUGAAAUCCUAUAGGCUGUAUCAGGUGUCAAUCAUAGCAAACCUGAACCCCCUAAUAACUUUUAAAAAUGGAGCUUCACAGAAAAAAGAGGACUUGAGCACAAACCAGUCUUACAAUGUCAACAUCACAAGCGGGGGGGGGAGAAAAAUUUAUGUUCUGUGUAAUAAAUUUCUAAAGUUUGUCCACAGCCCCAUAAGCUUUGCUGGCGGAGGCGCGAUUUAUGACCUGUACUGCAGCCCGUCACCAGAGGGCGCUGUUCUUGGAGUGGCUUCGGCCAGCAAGGAGGCAGACACUGUCUAUUCUAUAUACAGUCUAUGGUUGCACUCACUGCAUAUGCAGCACAAAUUUUAGCCAUUUUUUCCUGCAAUGUCCAGCUGUAUCAUUUGUGCUCUUGCAUCCUAAACUCCAAGAUAAAAGUUGCAUCAGUAUACAAGACAAUUUUGUUGCACUUUUUAGAGGACAUUAGGGUAUUAAUGAUGUUUUAAAAGACACAUUUUACAGUUACUUUGUUUUUGUGAGAGGUUUAUUUGAACACUGGGGACAAAGAGGCUUAGGGGUUAAGUCUCACAGACAGGAUGGGAAACACAGUCUGUACGUAAAACAUGAGGUGGGUUUAUAUGACCACUUUAUGCUAAUCCAUUUAAAAUCCGUUGAACUGAAAAUUCUGUGUCAUCUAUUUGCAUUGGGGUAUGAUCUCUUCCCAUCAGGGGCCUCAUGUAUCAACACUUGCGUGGAACUCAUACCAGAAACGAGCGCACGCAAGGUCCGUCACGCUGAAAAAAAUCCGUAUGUAUCAAUGUGUGCGGGCGCCGAAAUCCACGUGUGUUUCCUUGAUAAAUCCCAAUCAGCGUGGAAUUGAGCGCAGAUGUCGGAGUGACUGGGCCCGUCCCCGUUACGCCCUCCUAUAAAUAUGCAGAUUUAUUUAAAUGGGGUCUCCCUGUCCUCGCACGCAGACAAAAUGACAAGAAAAACUAAAUUUACGGCGUGCGAGGUGGAGGUGCUGGUGGCGGAGGUGGAGGAGCGACAGCGUGUUUUAUUUGGCAGCCUGUCCAGUGGCGUCAGUGCAAAACGAAAAUGCUUGGAGUGGGAGAAAGUUUGCGAGAGGGUGAAUGCGGUGGGUUCCGAGACACGCACCCCCGCGGAGAUUAAAAAAAAGUGGUCGGACCUCAAGGUGGAGGUCAAGCGGCGUACAGCUGCCCUCCGGAGGAGUACUGGCCAGACAGGUGGGGGUCCGGGGGAGGAGACCCUCACACCGUUUGAGCAGCGGGUGGUGGCGAUUAUUAUUAUAGGGUAAGUGGCGUGUCACACAAAUGUCCACAUGCUUUGUCAUCCCACUGAGCAAAAGACGUAUAUUAGACGUCUAGUCUAAGUUUAUACUUCAUUUCAACGUCUAGAUUCAGUCUAUUUUUAGACGUGAUUUAUACUUCGCCCUUAACUUCAUUUUUCGAUAACUUUUUAUGCAAUAAACAACUGUAAUGUGCAUAACUGACCUCUAAAUACUGGAUUACAUUACCUAUGAUACCGUGGAGAGAGAUGUAAACGCAACAGAUACACAGAAGCAGGAAUUGAAAUGAACAAAUAUUUUUAUUGUGUCACAGAAAUCAAUGUGUCGGCCGUGUCGCCGGCUUGCGGAACCCCGGCCCGCGGCAGCCCGUCCGCCGGCUCGGAGUCGUCGGCCAGGACCAGCGGCAUUCGGGCCACCCCGGCCCCCGGCCCCAGCACCAGCACCAGCAUCAGCACCAGCGCGCCGACAAGCGGUGGAGCGUCCACCAGCCGCGGCGCUUCCGCUGGACCACCCGGACGCAGUGGAAGGGUCCUCGCGGAGGGGGUCCUGCAAUCGCAGGAAGAAAUCAUCAGGGGGAUCGCAGGGAUCAACGAGCGGCUGGACCGGCUCGUAAAUGUCCUCGAGCGUCUGGUGGAGAAAAUAAAUAAAUUUGGCUCAUUGAACUGUGUAUUCACUUCUUACCCAUUCACACUGUGGCGAUGAGAUUCUCCCGCGCGAGGACAGCGGCCCGGCAGGGAUCAGCUCGCAUCCCUCCGUCUGCUGCUGGUUCGUCAUGUGGGGCGACGUGCUGCUCGGCCACGGGGAUGUGGUGCACGCUUGUCACAUAGUGAGUCACCAAACACCGCCACACAGCGUCGCCAAAGUGCGAAUCACAGUCAACGCAAGUAUCAGCUCAACGCCAAUUUCUACACCACCUCCUGACUUUGCGUUGAUUAGCGCUGGAACCGACGCUCGUUUCGCGAUGAUAAAUCUGGACGUGUGCGCCAAUUUUGGCGUACGCAAGGUUUUCUUGCGCCGCAAGCGUUGAUACAUGAGGCCCCUGGUGUUUACACACUCGAGAUGCUGAUCAUCUCCUAAGUAAUGUGACAUCAUGAUAACACAUCACAAUAAAGAAGAUGGAGGUCAAGCAUCUGCAUGCGAGUAAGCAGUUUACUUUAUCUUUGAUGAAAACAAAGUCAGAAAGGACCCUUGUUUCGCUUUCUAACUAUUCAUGUACCACCAUACUGCUUUAAAGUGCUGUCAUGAUCUCGAGUCAUGAGAGACAAGCAACAAGCACAUGCAAAAGAUCUGCCAACGGAAUACAGUUAGAGCACAUGUGUACCCGACUGUUUGAUCAGACAACAAAAGUAUUACACCAGCCCUUUUUAGAAUAAAAAUCCUACUUGGAUUGGUUGUUUUAUUCUGAUCAAGGGAUUUGUAUGAGUCAUCUUUCAUCUGAGUUGGCUAUUUUUCCAAUUGUAAUCUGAUCAGAGGUUGCCAUUAAAAUCCACCCAGUUGCUUUACCCACUGAUCUUUGGAAAAACCCCUUUAAAGCUUAAUAACAGCAGUUGUCAUAUAAAAGCUGUGGAGAUGAGGAGAUCCUUUGGCUUCUUGAUGUGUAUUUAAAUCAAGUAAAAAACUAUUGAGACAGUAACAGAUUUUUGUACCAGGCUGUUAACAUGCCAUGCUGCAAAAAUGGACAUUCUAAUAGUUAAUGGGGCUUUGUGGACUUUUGGAGCCAGCCUCAAGUGGAAACUUGAGGAACUACCCCGUGUUGCACUCCACCACUGGCUUCAUUUUUAAUACCAGAGGUGGCAGCUCAACACGAAAGUUUGGUUAAAGAUUUGGGGCCUAACAAACUACAAGGUUGGCAAUAUUUUUCAAACUAGACAACAAAAAUUAUCACCAGUCGAUGUCUGAAUCUUAAGAUGGCUUUAACUUUGAAAAGUCUCAAAAUCAAAUGCCACAAUGCAACACUGUUGCUCAGCUAACUUUGCUCACUCUGCACUUGCCUGACCACAUCCAACCUCAGAAAAUGAAAAUGGGCCACUUUUUAAAAUUUCUUUCCCUCCAUGGUUUCCUUGAAAAAAAAAAUCACCUUUUGUGUCAGUUUUAUUUUUGUGUUCAAAAACAUAAAAUCAAACAACUGCAUAAUUUCAAAACCCAUCCCUGAAAGGAAAAUCAAAUGACCACAAGACAUACAUAGUGAAUAGUAUCCUCGUUCUGAGCAGCUGCCAAAAAAGAUGAUUUUGACCUGUGCGUUUUGUUUCGAUCAGUUAUUGACAAAGCUAUUGCCUGACACUAAAUAUGCAUUUAAUAAGACGUGCAAAGAACUUACGAACCUAAAAAAUAGUCUGAACUCUGAUUUCCAUUUUGGGGGACCAUGUUCUUGACUCUGUUUUGGUCUCCGCAAACUUCCAAGAAAAAAAGAAGUUUUCUGCACUUUGCUAACACAGCUGCAUACUUUUACAUGGAAAUUUCCAGCAUUGUGAAAACCAAUAUCUUAGACUUCAAUAAAAAUAGGGGGGAACUUCAGGGCCAGGUAAAAAUGGUUACCCUGUGAUUUCAGCACUGUAGGCAUCACCUUUCAUAUGAGAGAAGUCAUUUGAUUUAUUGUUAAUAAAAGAACAUUAAUAAGAAGAACUUUGCAUGGUCUUUACUGCUUUUUUGUAAUUUUUAUCUGUCUUACUGACGUCCUCUGGAGCUCUGGUUUAAUAAUGUAAGACAGUAAAAAGCCCAUUAAAGGAUAAAGCAUUUGAGUAGAAAGAGAGAGGACGGCAAAAACAUACAAUGACAGGCAGGUAAACAUAGUGGAAAAAACACCAUAGAGACAGUCACACAGACAGACAGUGAUGUGACGAGUGCAAAGAUUGAUAUGCAGGUUGGUUCGUGUGGACAGUAAAAAAAAAAAACAGACGGGCAGACAGAGAGACAGCCAAGCAUGCACAGUAUGAUGACAGGCAAAAAACAUGAAGAAAGACAAGUGAUAGAGGAAGACACACAUGCAGGUAGACAAGCAUAAAGGUGGACAGACAGGUAGACAUAAUAUAAAAAAAAAAAACAGUCUAUCCAGCAGACGUCCAUUAAGACACACUGAAACAGCUGUACAUGACCAGGUCAGGACCUUCGCAUCAUGAUCUGGCAGUGAGUCAGGAAUUCUGGAAAGACUGUAGACUUCCAGAUGGAGAGACAAAUGGGCAAAAAGAAAGCGAGCGAGAGAAAAAGGCAAGUGAGAGCACACAAGAGCACAUGCAUACACACAUAUAGACUGCAUGGAGGCAGACAGGCAAGACCAGGAGCAAGCCUGGGUAAGAGAUAAGAUUCCUGGGUGGCUUUGCCCUGGGCAUGGGUCUGCAGAGCACAGCAGCCAGGGGCAGAGGGAGGAGAAGGGUGAGGUGUGGGAGAGAGAAAGGGGGAGACAGGGGUGGUGUUAUCAAGCAAGUGCAGGGGCUGGGAUGGGCGAAUGGGCAGUCUGAGAAUCUGACUUCCCUCCCUCUCUGUCUGCGAUCCAGCAGGACAAAGAGUGAAAACAGAGAAAAAAGGACCAGAAAGAAGAAGAGGAGACCUGAAAAAAAAGGCUUUUUAUGUGUGAGUUUGUGGGUGUAACAUGUCUCAGAGUGACAUUGUAGAAAAAAAAAGUGAGGUACACAAUGUUUCUUUCAAAUACGAAGUGUGUGUGUUCGUUGAAAGAGAGGAGAGAAAGAAAGAGGGGUGCAAAGCAGACAAAGAAGGAGAGGGGCAGGAGUCUUCACACAAAAAGGUGCUGGCUGUGAACAAAUGUAGCUUUGGUAAUGAUGGUUUAUUGUUUUUGGACAUUUUGGAAAACAAAACACAGAAAAUGGCCAUGAAGCUAGAAGCACAUCUUUUUAAACCUUAAUAUAGUCAGGCCUCAUAUAUACAUAUAUUCCUAUCCUGCUUUCUCACCUGCUCCUGCUCUCUGUGUGUGUGCCACUGCGAGCAUCAUGCUUCUUUGCAGUCAGAAUAAGUAUCUCACAGCGUGCAAGCGUUGCAUGUGUAUGUUCGUGUCUGUCUUCACAGCAGGAACCGAUCUACUCACUAUAUGUGAGGGUCUAAAUAACAUGCAGUAUGCCGCCUCAGCAGCAGCUCUGCUCAAGCAGCGCUGCAACACAACACAGUCAAGACACGUUUGUAACCACGUCAGGCAACAUGGCUGAGGGAGUUUGAACAACAACUUAUGAGAUGCUGAGUUCCAGUUAAAUCGUACAGUUAAGAUAGUAUGCAGUCUUUGCUGAAGGAUUUGUGGAAGACUGAUUCUGUUUAGUUUGACAGUAAUAGUUUGGUUAAUGGGACUCCAAAAAUUAAUAAUAGGCUCUAAAAACAGUGAAUAGUUCAGGUCUUGUUUUUAGAAUAGCUAGAACUGCUUAAAAUGCAUUCAUCCCGGUCAGCUUGUUUCAGUAUCAGUAGAUCUGUGCUUGUUCAUUGUACCAAUAUGUGGGUGCUUCAUUUACACACAAUCUUUUCGUCAUUUGACUGUUAAAAAAAUCUUUUUUUUUUUUUUGAUACAGAAAACAUUAUUGGUUGGUAAGAAUAUGUUUAAAAUUGUAGAUGUCAAUGUAAAGUUUCAUAAUAUAUCUGACACUACUGGAAACAGCUGUCUCAUAAAAUGCAUCUAUCAGAUAUAAGUGAUCAAUGACUUUGACAUUAUGUUUUUGUGUUUUAUUCUUAACAAUGCUUUUGCAGUUAUUCUUUAUGUUUUCAGCUGAAAGCAUUUUAAAUAUUCUUCUCUUUCUUUCUCUUUAUUUGAAUUAUGUUUUUGAGAUGUUGCAUAUAAAAUUUAUAAGUAGUAGAUCUGUGCUCGUUCUUUGUACCAAUAUGUGGGUGCUUGAUUCACACACAUGAUCUUUUUGUCAUUUAACUGUAAAAAAAAAGUCUUUUUUUUUAUACGGAAGACGUUAUUGGUCAGUUAAAAGAUGUUACAAACAUAAUCCUACCUUGUUUUAAUUUCAUGUGUUACUAAUUUCAAGUAAAAUUGCUUUCUGCAUGAGAGCUGGAUUUGAUCUUGAAGCAAAAAGAGAGAAAAUUUGUUCACUUUUUUAAAAUUGUAAAUGGCAAUUUAGAGUUCCCAUAAUAUAUCUAACAUUACUGGAAACAGCUGUCUCAUAAAAUGUAUUAAUCUGAUAUUAGUGAUCAGUGAGUUUGACCUUGUGUUUUUGUGUUUUAUUCUUCAGGUUUUCUUCUAAAUGCAUUUUAAAAUUCCUUCUCUUUCUUCACCUUUAUUUGAAUUAUGUUUUUGAGAUGUUGCACACAAAAUUUUACUUGAAAAACCCACAUAGCUUUGGACCUGACCUUAGGGCAUGUAGAUAAAUGAGCUGAAAGCAAAAGACUGCCGAAGUUUUCAGUGUAAUUAUCGUUGUUGUUUGUAAAUAUAUUAACUAUUAAAUACAGUUUACAUAUAAAGUGCAUUGACAACGGAUAAGGUUUACACCCAUUGGAAGAAUAUAUCUGUGGGAUGUUGACAGGAGGGGUGGAGAUCCGUUACUCAUCUAUCUCCUCUUCUGCCAUGUCUCAAUCUAGCAGUGAUAAAAGAGAGCCUCUCCUGCCAGACACAUGGCCAAUUACAAAUUAGCCAGUUUGUUGGUGGGGGAGGGGCGGCUGGUGGUAAUCAGGCUUCAAGAGGUGGAGGCCCUUGAAGAUUAAUUGGAAAUGGGCCCCCGGUAAAUGUCAAUGGCAAUCAAGGGUUUGUACAGCUCUGAUUGACUCUAUACACAGACCCCUCUGCCCAGGAUAAGCUUUCUCCAGCCGUGACAUUGCUGGCAUCGCUCCCUCACUCUCUCCAUCUCCUCUGAAAAGGAAGGAGAGCAGGCACAAAGGAGGCAAGGAAAAUGGAGGUGUGAGACAGUGACAGAAUACCGAAGAAGAUGUGUAAAGGGAAGUGUUUGACAUUUCCAACCUCCUGAUGUGUUCAUGUUUAGGAGCUUUGGUCAUGAUUUGAAAGGGUGCUGUGCAGACGCACAAACACCAAAAGAAGCAAUUUUCCAUGUUGGGACCAGAGCGGGCAUAUGAAAGUCAUCAUGAGGGCUGUUUUUUUGUUCUUUCAUAUACAAACGGAUAUUUUUGUUUUUGUCUCCUUCCCUUUUUCUACUCUGAAUUCUCUGAACACUAUUACAUUUUCCAUUUGUGUCUCUUUGUUUUGGCUUAAUGCAAUAAUUUGAUCUCUCAUUAUAUAUGUACCAAAUGGCCUUGACAUCUUACCCAGGAAUACAAAGCUCCAUUCUCGCCUCUGCUGCAUGUAUACCAGCAGUGCUGGCUUACAUUAAUAAUAGCAACCUAUGAUUGACUCAAAAAUAUCAAAGCAGCUUUUUUCGCAUUGAGUGAAGAGCAAACCAGUCCUUUCAAUUCUUGAUGCUGUAAGCUAAGUUUCUUGAGUGCUACUGACUUCCAGUUAAGACCUGGACAGACUGGCUAACAUUAAAGAGGAGGGUUGUACAUUUUUUUCUGACUGUACGUCCUGUUUUAAAAUAGACUGAAAUUCAUUUGAGGCCUUUUGAUGAUAUCCACAGUUAGGGCUGGGCGAUAUGGGGAAAUUUUUAACCCGAUAUAUCUUUUUUCAUAUUAGUCGAUAUAAAAAAUGAAGUUUAACAGUGCUUAUUGGUAGCAUGUCUUUUGCAAUACAAUAAGUUACUGCAUCUGUGAGGUCUUUUUGUCUCUUCAACGUUUUGUCGUAAGGCGUUGCGCUAGAGAAAGCGGAUUGAAUGGUUGGCUGUUUCAGUUGCACAGGCGCCAAGGUCUCCGUGCUCCGCUCGGGAUUUGUAACCUUUUGCAUCACACAUGUCCUUUCAGUGACACUGCUUCAGGUGGUGAAAAAGAUUUGAGGUAUUUACCGACUUAAUACCUAGCACACCAUCGACGUUUAAGUGCCAGUGUUGUUGACGAUGUCAUCAUCUGUUCAGCCUUCAUCUGCAUUUCUGCCGAGGGUAGCACUCAUUUUUUGUCGGUUUCACGUGUUAAAGUGCUAUGGUUGCGUGUAGCUGCAGCCUGCUACUAUGCAGUUGUUUGCUACUUGGUUCUAAUUCAGCAAAUUAUUGGUUCAGCUCAAAGCGGACCCAGAGCAACUCCCUUUUUCAUUGGCUAUUCGUAUAGUCUACCAAAACAUACCAGAAUGCCGACUAUCGAAAAGCAUAUUGAUCAUGUUUCACAUUGAUAUUUACAGAAAUUAAUUUUCAAUAUAUAUCGUUAUCAUUUUAACACCUCGCCCUAUCCACAGUCAAACAAAACCAUCAAGUACAAGAAUGACAAUUCAUAUAAAGUAAUUUUUAAUGCUUGAAACUGGAGUAAGAAUGAAGGUAGCAGCUGAGCAGUUGGACAAAAGCCCUGUUUUUGCUUCUGAUGAUACUAAUUCUACUCCUGGUUGUAAGUAUGGUAGCAGAGAUAGAAGCAAGAAAUGAUCCUUAUUAAACAUCUGAAAAUAUCUUGUUUAGCUUUUAAGACAAAAACUUUCUUAGCUCCACAGUUUAAUUCUAGUUUAAUAAUGUUUAUCCUCUAAUCUCUCAUAGAAUUUAUAGAUAAUGAAUUAAAUGAAAGAUGAUAAUGAAUAAACAAAAUAUGUUUGGCCCAAGGUAGUUUUUAUAAUGUUUGCUCUUAUUAUUUUUCAUAGCGAAAAAGUCAAUUUACUAAGCAAUAACAGUAAAAGUAAGCGCCGGGUACUUCUAUAAUUGUAUGUUUAAUAUUUUCAUCCCCAGCUUAAAACAGAUAAAUAACUAAAAUUGAGAUUAAGUUACAGUCUCCUAACCUCUAAGUUACAGUAGCUUACAGUAGAUAUCUCUACAGCAUAUUAUUCAUACUGGAGCAUCCAAAAUGUUUGAAGAACUUUUUCACAGAGUUUUUUGAGCUGCUGAAGAGGUGGUUGUCACUUUUGGAAGCUGGGGAAGAGUUGUCCUUCCUGUCAGAGCUACCUGUCUCCCAUGCUUCGGGUUUUUCCCUCACUAAGACGCAGUGCGACAGAGAAUCGAACUAUGACAGGUCAGUCUAGGUUGGAUGGCAUCUCGCUACUGCCUCCAAAGCUGUACUGUAGUGACAAAUGCUGUCAAUAUAUUGACUGAAUGUCAAAAAGUUGGAAAACAACAUUUUCUCACACAAGCCAGCCUUGUCACACGCAAUCCCUCUACAGUACAUUUAAUCCACUGCUUCCUCCUGUCUCCUCUUACCCCUCGCAAAUUUCUGUUACUGAGGCAGAAAACACCCGCUUUAGUCGAUUAGAUGCCUCCACUGACAGGAAGAGCAAAGGCAACUGAGCAUUGAGGCGAGAUGACUAAUGAGGAGGGAGUGACAUAGGAGGAGACUGAGUGCUGCAUCAAUUGUUUCAUCAAUACUGGCAGUUCAUCAACCCGGACAAACAUUAGUUGUUACUUAACAAGAUUUUAGCUUUAGUAGAGGGAGAGAAGAGGGUUCAGGUGACCUGUAAAGGUUAAAAACAACCAAAUAAAGACCUUAAUCAGUCUUCACUUCUUUUGAGAAGCAAUCUGGUACAUAUAUAUAAGAGUUUAACUGUGCGUAAAAAAAAAAAAAAAACAUCUGUGUCUUGAUCAUGCCAUGAAAAUCUCCAUGUAUAGAUUAUAUUGUUGUUGUAACUCUGGAGGAAAAAACAGUCUUCUUUGAUGGUGGCUGCUUUUCUAGGUGACAGGAAAAGCAACACAAAUGGCAUUCCAGUUUUUGUUUUUUUUCACACAGACACCAAAAUUUUAAAGCACUAAUGAGGACAGAACUUGUUCCCUCUUACCUUUUUUUUUUUUCUCUGCAAGCGAACUGAAUAUUUUUGGGCUAUUUAAGUUCAGUUUAGGUCAGAGAGUUCAGAAAGUUAUUGAUUUUUUUUAGAAAAACAUGAGGAUGCAUAUCUUGCAUUACAUAGCACAAUAAAAAAGGGAUGUAAAUUAUUCAGUUGUUAUUUUCAUAUAUAUAGCAAAGGUAUUGGAGAGAAAUGGCUUGGGAGAACAAGCCAAGAUCAGGGUGUAAAGCUACAAAAUGCUGUGAAUUUUUAAUGCAGCUAGUGGCUCCUCAGAGGAACAAUAGUGUAUCAUACACAGACUCAAAGGUGGUCAGGUCAGUACUGACACUGACAUCUGUGUGGAGGAAUGUCAAAACACGGAGAAUAACGAGCUUUAGAAAAAAAAAGUUCAUAGUGGAGUUCAUGCAGAAGAGCUGCACCAAUUUAGAGGACGGACAUUUCAAUGAGUGUGAGGGCAGAGGAGCUUUGAAAAGAGUGUUGAUUUUCUCAGCAAACAAAGUACAAAGCUGCGUGCUCUGUUAGUUAUAUAAGUGUUUUUCUUCUAAGUUUGAUACCUGCAACUAGAAAAAAAAAAAAGUUAAAAAGUAUAGUUUUUGGACUUCUACCCCACAAUAUAACAAGAGUCAAGCUCAUCAAGUUGAUUUGUGCAGAACAUGAUCCAAAAGCAGAUGGUAAACAAAUAUUUUGAGAGCAUGUUGCCUUUGAUAUUCUGGACAGGGCUUCACCGUCUGAUUUGUAAGCCAGUGCCAGCGACAACUGCAUUUUAGAAGCGCUGCCAGAUAUAUUACAAGGGGGAACUGGAGCAGAACAGCUCUCUGGCGAUGCACCAUGGACAUUAUGCAAAUACCAUGAGAGAACAUAUUAGCUAGUCUAUCGGUUCCCCUUUAGAGAUGCCUGCACCAAAUUGUCUCAGAAGUUGCAGUGAGCUCCCACUGAGCCAAAGAAUGUGUGGAUUUAAAUCAGAGUGACAGAGAACCCUUGCGGACAUUUCAUAUUGCUCUUUCCACUUUUUGAGAAUGUGUCGACCCUUUAUUCCAAACAGCAGUCUGUUUAUCAGCACCAACGCAGCAUUUCUCCUAAUUCGUGUUAUGCAGCGGUUGCACGCAGCUACCAGAUACUUGAUCAUCUCAAAUACGCCUUGAUGAAGAUGCAUUCAAUCUGAAAAAGCCAUAGCAGUUCAUUGAAACGCAUUUGGUGUAAUGCGCCAUAACACUUGACGUGCACAUCUCCAGCAGAGCAUUUGAGCACAAGUCAGAACAGUUAGAAUGGUGGCAUAUAUUCCCAGUAAUAGCCUUGAUGUUUGUUUUUAAAGAGGCUGUGGCACUGCAUGCCAUUAUAGGGCUAAUGAUGUACGAUUGUCAUCUCACACAUUGCAGAGUUAAUUGGGCCUCUGUGAUCAUGCCUAAUGGCUUUACCAGGGAAUUAUUGACACAAUGAUGUGGGCCGACGUGCUACAGGUAGCUGAAUAAAUAAAUAAGCAAUCCCUCCCCCCCGCUGCCCCCACCUCCCUCUCCCCAGACACGAAGCUCGUCAAUCUUUGCAACUGCUUCUGCAGCUCCCUAGUCAGUUAACAUUUUAGAAAAUGGCUGCCCAUUAAUAAUAAAGGCGUAUUAACAUAAGUGAAUUCUGCUGCGGUGUGGGAUUCAGUGGAACAGUUAUUAAAGUCCAAUUUGGCCCCAUUAAUAAUGCAUCCACCUUUGACUUUCUGAUAUCCAGAUUAUGUGGUAUUACUGUGGCAAUACAUUAUUUAUCAACCACUUUCAAUUGGGGACCUUGAUGACUUCUAAUUGGUAGGUGGCGCUGCCAUUAAGUUACCCCUGAUGAGACUUGUCAAUCAAGGUGCAUUCUCUCGACCUCUUUGUCCAACAGACGACACACAUACACACACAGGUAUGCACACGCACACGGCACAGUCUGAGCCAGGUGCCAACAGUGCCAACAGUGCCACAGGGCCGGACAGGGGCAAAGAGCUCCACCCUCAUAACCUCGCCAAGAGACGGAGGUCUGACUCCUGUCCAUCAUGGCCAUUUGAAGUGCUUCAGAGGGGAAGCUAAACGGCAUGGGGCCUGCUGUUAGAGAGGCCCGGCUUUAAAAGUUAAUGGCUCCCGUGCUAUGCUGAAUGACACUGGAAGGGUGAGCGAUUGUCAUGCCUCUGUCCUCUGGGGGCCUUUUGUCAGUCAGUCACUCAGAGAGACAGACAGUGGCACAUGCACAGUCAUACAGAUACAUCCAAGCAAAAAACUGUAUGCAAUCCAUACCCUCUAUGCAUAAAGAAAGCGUAUAUAUAUGCAUAAAAACCCACCAGAAUGCCAACUACUUCUGUGAAUAUGCAAACACACCACACUGCAGAUACAACAAGGCAACCAGCUUGUGAGGCAACAUGCCGUAACUUUUCUGGUGACACAUAAAGUGCUGCACAAACAAAAAAGACAUCCUGUCAACUUCAAGCUAUUACAAUCACGCUGAAUAGCAUGUCAUUCUGUCCAGCAUGUUGAGAUUUUAUUGCAUGCUAGAUCAGCCCAAACUAAUUUUAAACUGAAUGACAAUCGCUCACUGAAGAACACUCCUGCUGCACAGAAAUGGCUGAGUAACAAUUUGUGCACAGCAGAGUAGAGAGAAAAAGGGAAAAGAGUGCGAAUGAAUUCUGCUCCCCUGAGUGCUGGCAAGAAAUGGAAUCAAGAUAAAAAAAAAAAGAGGGGGAAGUGAGAUAUCUCGUUAAAUACACUGAAAUUGGAUACACACAGCAGCACCGCACAAAGGUACCCCCCUCCAAUCCUCUUCCUCACAGAUAACCACACAUACACACUCGCUAACUAUACACGCCUACAUCUCAUCCUUUGCAAAUACACAGAACCAGCUGAGUACACAGUUUUAGACUGCACACGCCCUAAAAAAUUGAAAUGCUGCUCUUAUUUAAACACAAGUAAACACAAUCUCUAGGAACCUACCUGAGUUUUAUUAAUUGAUAUUUAAUCUGCGCUCCAUGGGAAAGGUUUUCUGGCAAAUAAAGAAGGACCUCAUGUUGAAUCUGGCAAGCUCUACAUCCCAAGAGCUGCAGCAGCACCAGCUGUGCACAGCUCAGAGAUACUCAGCAGCUCGGUUAACAAGGAUGGAUAAGGUGCAAAGUGGAUGUGGAAAUGGGAGUUUUAAGGCCACCUGGAUCACUUCAUCAGACCAACCUGAGUCUCUGAUCAGGGAGGGAAUGGUCAUGCAUGCAAGUGCCAGGUAAUAUAUUUAUUAGUUGCAGAAAUCGGUUAUAUUCUACUAAGGAAAGAGAUUACAACAGCCCUACAAAAAUCUACCUCAAUGAGGAGCUAUUCCUCUUUUCCUCUUUUUUGAUGAUUAUGUUUCUUGUUUUUAUCCUCUGAUAUUUAGAUUCUUUAACAUGUUGUGAUUCUAUUCAUAAGAAUACUAAAGGAGAUAAAGUUUUCAUUUUGAAGACAGUGCUUUAAAACUUUCUCAAUUAAUGACACUCUUAUCAUUCUCAUUUUUAUACUAUGAUUAAUAACUUUUUCCAUGUUUUAUUAAUCAUUAACUAAUAGUUUGUAAAGGGCUUGUUAGCAACAUUAUUAUAAAAUGUUAGCAUCAAUAUUCAUGUACAUUGAAUAUUCAUGUCCAUCCUCACCCAUCAGUAUGCCUGCUGGGCUGCAGUGGAGGGCCAGCGCUUAUAAUUGGCAAUCUUUUCCUGUUGGUUGACAGUACAGAGGAGUCAUUUCCUUGCAUUCAAAUCUGCGAGUCGCACAAAGCUGGCUUGUCAACUUUCCACUUCAUUACAGGUCAAGCAAUAGACUCAUUUCUCUCAGGCGCGUCGCUCCCAUAAUUGUUUUCUACCUCUCCUUUCGUAGCCAAUUUACAUGUGCUUCCUCGCCAAGUGUAAAAGAGACAGAGGAAGGGAAGAUGAGAAUGCUCUUGCUUUUCACUUCCACUCACCGUCCAUUAAUGACUUGACACAUGGAACGCAAAAAGUAAUAUGAAUUUUGUUCCCUUUUCUGUAGCAUUUGCUUUGAGGCAUAUGAUACAGUAUGUUGAGCUGAGAUGAGAAUUUGAUAGAAAUUAUGGUGUAGAACUGAGAAGAAUAGGAUGAAAGCAGGAUGAAGGAAAGGUAGAAGCAGCAUGGAGCAAUAAGGCAAGAGAUAGGAGGCUUUGAACUGAAGUUUACGUUAAGUGUUCCUACAUGAAACUGACUCUACAUAGCAGCUUGACUUAUGUCCAAGUCAUCAAAUAAAGUGGCUUGGUCAGGAGCCUAAUGCAUCUUAAUAUGACACUGUAUGUAACAUCUGGUGUCAUUUCUGGACUUUGGCCAAUUUCUUCAAAGUCAGGUGAUGAGGUCUGAAGAAGCAAAUCAACAGAGAUUAGGUUAUUUAGACAAGAAUAAGGGUCCAAUUAUUGGCUCUAAUUUUAACUUGUUUCCAGGGGCGUGUCCACACUUUUGUGACUGGAUUGGCCUUCCCUUGAAUGAUUCAAGUGCAAAUACUUGAACCCCUGAGGGCUAAAGCUUUGCUGGAUGCUGAAGCUGCUGUUGACUGGGAUGGUUGUUAUAAGCCAUGGUUGAAAUAGAACAGAGUUUAUGCUGGUGUUUCUAUUGCAGUAAAAUACUGUCAGUAAUGUUGUUAAUUUUUUAUUAGUUUCUAUGAAUAAUUCGUAUAGAACAAAGCAUUGACAAGACUAAUAUCACAUUACGCUGCAGCCCUUCAAUAAAACUGUGAAUAUGGUGCACAAACACGUUUCACAGGAAGGUCGCCUUUUCUUUUGAAUUGUAAUAGUUGACCAUUGCACACAAUCUCACACAUAACAUCUGUUGUUUAAUGCCAAUAUUGCUCUGCCUCAUUUUACCCUGCAAAUGGGAAUGCGAAUGCAAAUGCGAAGAAGAACAACAAGCAGAACAAGAAGUAUUAAUUGAUCCCAGAAGGGAAAUUCAAUUUAACCCUUAAAAUUGCCAAGAACUUUAACUUUUAAAUUAAUAUAUCGGACAAGUGGUCAACUAAGGCAUUUGUACUAUCCAUGCAGACCUAACACUGACCUUAAAAGUGUGAAUUUAUCCUCUGGUACUACAGAAAAACAGACUUUAAAAUGGUAGAAUGAGGCAACACAGAGUGAUACAACAGAGAUGACUUGAUAUUUCAUAAACCAAAACACAGCACUCACCUACAGAGUGGACACUGCCCCCAGUGCGCCCACAGGCUGCUGCCAGGAAGUCUCCACAGAGACAGAGAAACGAGCUUCACUGAAACAUUGUUAAAAUAUUAAAAAGCUGCGAUCGUAAUAAAAACAAAUAAAACCUAUUUAUUUGGAAAGUAGCAGAAUAUAAGACAAAUGGAGGCAGUAAAAUUAGCCAAGCAUAAAGGUAAAAGAACAACAAUUCAACACACCCGCUGGCUUUGGCAUAUAUUUUAAAAUGAAAGCCACAUAUUUAGGUUCACACAGACGAGGCAACCACAGGUCUGUGUGUCCUCAAGGCACAACUCCUGUUUUAAAACUGCCAUGGAAGAAAUACAACUCUGAGCUAACCAAUGUUUAAUGUUGACCAAACUUUACUCUCUGACUUUCCACAAAGUAUCCAAGCCUGUGGUCUUUGUUGAGCCUUAUUUUCUCUCAUCUAGUGCUGUUAGUAUGCAUGAUAAGCAGGCUUCUUACCAAUACUUAUAAUCAGUUGUACUGUAUUUGAUUAAAAAAAGUAGUAUUUAUUAGAUUUGUACAACUUAUUCUUGGGGAGGCUGUGUGAAAACAGUUUUGUGGAGGUUAGACUCUGUCACUGAAUUAAUGCAGUGCUAACAUUGCUGUGGGACGUUAUGUGAAUUUUUUCACCACCCUUAAUAACUUUUGUAUCUUAAACAGUAUGUAAGCAAUAUGUUUGUACUUAGGAAAUGUACACUGUUUGUGUUCAGUAUAAUUUAUAACCUUUAAAUGUUCUGUGAUCAUCAUUUCAGAAUAUUUUAAAAACGUUACAUUGAAUUACUUUAAAAGUGUCAAGAAGAUUUUUGAUCUACAUGUUUAUGAAACCAAAAUUACAUCAUGAUGGGUUCAAUGAAAAAGUAAAAAAAAAAACUAUUUGUUCACUUAAGGGGAGAUGUCAGUAUUUUUGAAGAGGGGUCGAUGAGAAAUAUGCCACCAGUAGCCGAAGUGCAUUAGUCACAAUGGAUGCCAGUCAGUACUUUUGCAUGACACUCGAGUUUGAGAACUCCGAUUGAGACACCCAGAUAAUGCGAUUGGAAUUCGAUUUUCUUUACCAUGUAACCAGCGUAUUCGGAGUAUGGUUGGACAAUGCAUGUGCCCGUGCGCCCCACCCCUGUAACCCCGGAACAAAAAUACCAGGGAAGAGGAGUAGCGCGCACCUCAUCUGCAGAAAAAGUAGCGUGGCCAUCAUGUACAACAAAAACAACGCUGUACAAUGCUCCAUCUUCUUGCUCGAAAAUGCCCAGCAGCAGUUGUAGCCACUUCUGACGUCUAUAAUGGACCUGCUGUUGUUGUUGUUGGGUCAACCAGAAACACUGAAAAGGCCCAUAUUGUCCCCUAGUUUUGGGAGGAGGACACGUUCACGUCAAUAAUUUUAUUUCCUCAGCUGCAUCUACAUGCAGACAAGGAUAGAAAUCUGAUUCAGCGAAUAAAAACGAAUUAUGAGCUUAGUCCGAUUAAGCUGUGCAUGUAAAUGCACUGAAUGUUAUCCCCCAAAUGGUUUCUGUGCUAACUGGUUUCCUUUAUUCAGCUGUUGUUGUGUUUACGUGGCAGAAGAGUUGCCCUUCAUUGAGACCAAUACACUUAAUAGUGACAUGUAGCGCGACUAAUAUAACUUCACUUCAGAAAUGCUGCACACCCACUUCUAACACUGACUAACCUUUAUGUCCUAUAAGGACCACAAUUUAUGUAAGUUUAUAGUUGAGGCAGAAGAUAUACAAGAGUCUCUCUUGACACAUCUGGCAUAUGUCCUGAUCUGAAGUUGAGCAUCAGUUUUACUGUCACAUGUAUUGUGUGUAUAUUCCCCACAGUAUCUCUGUUUACUCUCUUUUAUUUACUUCUCUGAUAAGGAGCUACACUGUAAGCAGAAGGUGUGCAAUAUGGCUUUGAUAGAUGUUUACUUUGAAAAAAAAAAAAAAAAAAGACUACUGAGGGUAAGGUAAGAUUUCAGCUCGACUCAGUAUUGGCUUCACUGAGAGAGAGUUUCAAGAGGAAACACAAGCAGACCGUACAGGCCAAGCAUGAAGACAGAUUUUUAUUCUUGACAAAAAGAUAAUAUAAGAUAAUUAGAGACAACUAAACAGGCAAAAUACCACCCUGUAAGUCGUCAGUGAAACAUAACCCUUCAGAAAAAAAAAAUCACAAACCUGAUAAAACACAGACUUGUUGAUCACAACAGCUAUCACAAAUUUACAUGGAGAGAGGGGAUAAAACACACUCCAACCAAAACUUAGAAAAAGAUAUUUCAAUCCCCCCUAUGCUUUCAGAAUGCUUGGUACAGCCCUUUGCUGUUUCUGUGUUUAAAAUUAGGCUCCGCCCACACCUCCAUCUUUGGCCAAACCACGAGGGAGAACUCAACAGCUAAGUAAGAUGAAAUGAAACAAAUAAUGUAACUUAACAGCUCAUUGUGACAGAAGUUUUGGCUAAAUGUGUGUUCUUCCUUUAGAAAACAGAGUGCUGUCAAUUGUGCAGUUUGAGCGACCAAACAGAGAACAUUGGUUUGUUAAGCUAUUGCUAACUACUGUUAACUAACUACUGUUAGCAUUAGCCACAGCGAGAGUAUAGUGAGCAGUGAUAAAUCACAGCCUCUUGACAUAGUAGGAGUAUAAAUAUAUUAUCUCUAAGUGUUAUCCUGGAAUGAACUGAACCUAUGUUGUGAUUAAUACCAAUCCUCACUCACAUAUUUCUUUAUUUAUGUCAUAACUGUUGGUAAUGUGCUGUUAAAUUACUGACAAGAUCUUCACUUACUUCAGCUUUUGUCUCAGCAUCUCAGAUCAUGUUCAUACAGUGAAGCUCAUCGCCUACUGCAGUGUUUUAUUCUGUUUUCUGUCUCUCCUGUGUCUGCUGUUAUGACUCUUCAUUUGUCUGAAGUCAUGGUACUGUGAUUAUCGUGCCCUGUUCUCCUCUGAAAAUCGUUCUCAUCCUCUUUCCAACCCACACGCCUCCUCUGUGUCUCAAAACCCCUGUUUCUUUAUGCCAACUGGCAGCGGCAAGCGGAGACAACUUUCUCUUAUGUCAAAUUAUGCAUAGACCGCAUGAUAAUACUAAUUCACCACAACAAGAGGUUAGCAUUGUUACAACAAAUGCUCCACAUGUAAGCAAACAUCCGCCACCGUGAUUGGCAACACACAUUUACACAAAGAAGCUAACAAACUGAGUUGUAAGGUAAGCUCACCUUACCCCAGGUUGCAUCAGCAAGACAGAAACAAGCGCAACAGAUGGUCUAAACCAAAUUCAAUCCAAAUUUAGCAAAGCAGAAUCCUUAUUCGAUGUAGGAUUUGAAGACUCUUUGACUCAAAUGAUUUCUGGAAGGUGUGAAAGGAUUUUCUGUCUUUUUCCUUUUCUGUAGUAGUCUGAUAAAACAAAGUAUCAAAGCUUGUUUUUUUCUGCCUUUUUAAGUCUGAUGUGUGAAUGUUUCGUCACCCAAGAACAUAUUUAAACUCAGUCUUUGGCGUUUUAUCAUUGACAGGCAUGUGUGAGUCUUCUUUAUGGUGCAUUCCUGCUGCUCUACUAAACUUGCAACAAACUCCUGGUAUCAAACAAGCAAUUCAAGCUUUUCAUUUUCCAUUUCAACCCAACCAUGAGGCUGUUUUUCUGGCUGUACCGCGGCGAGACCUUCACAAGGCCGAGCUUUUAAUUGCUUCCUUGCAGGGGGCUCGUCUUGACAGUGCCUCACAUCCUUUCUUCCACAGAAAAAAAAUAUAUAAAAAAGACUGAAAUCUUAGAAACAGCAGCAAAAAAGGAUUUCUGCCUACGCUUGAUCUCCCCUGCAGAGUUUGUCAAACAGAAGAAGAUCCUUUAAUUUGGUCACAACAGGGGCCUUCCACUAUUCUCUGCACACUGAAAUCCUGGCAAGAAAAGCCACUGCCUCCCCUAAUGUCCCAGAUGAGUCGUCUGACCUAGCAAAGUUCAUGAACAUGACUCUGAAUAUCUUGUCUCCUACAUGUCUUUCCUCCUCUUUAUUUUAAUGGUCUGACAAAAAGAGUGAAAACAGAAUGUAUUCCUUCUGUUUUAUGAUGAGCUCUGUAUUUCACUCGGCUUACCAAACCAUCUGAGCAGCAUCUGACUCUCUCUGUUUCUUCUCCUCGCUGCUAUAGGCUUAAACCUGCACAGUGGU